RNAcentral lists this long non-coding RNA (679 nucleotides) under Equus asinus (donkey). RNAcentral describes it as "lncRNA (ENSEASG00005026079.1)". Lineage: Eukaryota; Metazoa; Chordata; Mammalia; Perissodactyla; Equidae. The record is from RNAcentral.
GCUGAGCUGGAAAAAGGAGCGGAUGAGUGAAACUAGUCUGCUCCAAGAGUGUCUUCCCUUUGUGGGGGAGAGAUGCUUGCCUGAGCCCGUGGCCAGGGCAUCUGGCCUUUUAUCUGUGCUUUCUCUGUGAUGAGUCGGUCACUAGCAGAGGUGCUGUGUGGAUCCUGUCUCAGAGGUCUUAUUUCCUAGAGAAGGCAAAGCCUGCCGGAGGGGAUGCUGGAGAAAAUGGUCAUGUGGAACCUUCCAGCUGGUCCGACUGGUCAUUGUGUCUGCUCCGAGAAAGUGUGAAAGCGUCACUUCCUGUGCCAGGACUUCCCUCUGAGAGCCAAGAGCUGGAGCGAUGUGCCAGGGACCAGCCUGGAUGAUGCGUGAAGUCUCUUGGGAGAGAUGGCUGGAAGGCAAGAUUCACAAGACAGAAAACAGAGAUGACCCUGAAGUUGAAAGGCUUGAACCUAGCUGGGUGAUGGAUUACCCCGAGACCGCCCUGAUUUUGUUCUCUAAUUACUGUGUUUAUUUGGUGCGUCAUAUUGGGCCUGAAACCCUUAAUACCAGCCGGUGCUGUUCAUUGUUACGAUGUCCUAAUUAAGCUUUGAUUUAUAUGCUAAUUUUAUUCCAAGUGUGUUCGAAAGGGGGAAAGUUAUUAGACUUUAUUUUGAGAUUACAUUUUAAUCCUGGGGUC